UGGAGGUAUCAGAAGUGCGAAUGCUGACAUAAGUAACGAUAAAGCGGGUGAAAAGCCCGCUCGCCGGAAGACCAAGGGUUCCUGUCCAACGUUAAUCGGGGCAGGGUGAGUCGACCCCUAAGGCGAGGCCGAAAGGCGUAGUCGAUGGGAAACAGGUUAAUAUUCCUGUACUUGGUGUUACUGCGAAGGGGGGACGGAGAAGGCUAUGUUGGCCGGGCGACGGUUGUCCCGGUUUAAGCGUGUAGGCUGGUUUUCCAGGCAAAUCCGGAAAAUCAAGGCUGAGGCGUGAUGACGAGGCACUACGGUGCUGAAGCAACAAAUGCCCUGCUUCCAGGAAAAGCCUCUAAGCAUCAGGUAACAUUAAAUCGUACCCCAAACCGACACAGGUGGUCAGGUAGAGAAUACCAAGGCGCUUGAGAGAACUCGGGUGAAGGAACUAGGCAAAAUGGUGCCGUAACUUCGGGAGAAGGCACGCUGAUAUGUAGGUGAAGUCCCUCGCGGAUGGAGCUGAAAUCAGUCGAAGAUACCAGCUGGCUGCAACUGUUUAUUAAAAACACAGCACUGUGCAAACACGAAAGUGGACGUAUACGGUGUGACGCCUGCCCGGUGCCGGAAGGUUAAUUGAUGGGGUUAGCGGUAACGCGAAGCUCUUGAUCGAAGCCCCGGUAAACGGCGGCCGUAACUAUAACGGUCCUAAGGUAGCGAAAUUCCUUGUCGGGUAAGUUCCGACCUGCACGAAUGGCGUAAUGAUGGCCAGGCUGUCUCCACCCGAGACUCAGUGAAAUUGAACUCGCUGUGAAGAUGCAGUGUACCCGCGGCAAGACGGAAAGACCCCGUGAACCUUUACUAUAGCUUGACACUGAACAUUGAGCCUUGAUGUGUAGGAUAGGUGGGAGGCUUUGAAGUGUGGACGCCAGUCUGCAUGGAGCCGACCUUGAAAUACCACCCUUUAAUGUUUGAUGUUCUAACGUUGACCCGUAAUCCGGGUUGCGGACAGUGUCUGGUGGGUAGUUUGACUGGGGCGGUCUCCUCCUAAAGAGUAACGGAGGAGCACGAAGGUUGGCUAAUCCUGGUCGGACAUCAGGAGGUUAGUGCAAUGGCAUAAGCCAGCUUGACUGCGAGCGUGACGGCGCGAGCAGGUGCGAAAGCAGGUCAUAGUGAUCCGGUGGUUCUGAAUGGAAGGGCCAUCGCUCAACGGAUAAAAGGUACUCCGGGGAUAACAGGCUGAUACCGCCCAAGAGUUCAUAUCGACGGCGGUGUUUGGCACCUCGAUGUCGGCUCAUCACAUCCUGGGGCUGAAGUAGGUCCCAAGGGUAUGGCUGUUCGCCAUUUAAAGUGGUACGCGAGCUGGGUUUAGAACGUCGUGAGACAGUUCGGUCCCUAUCUGCCGUGGGCGCUGGAGAACUGAGGGGGGCUGCUCCUAGUACGAGAGGACCGGAGUGGACGCAUCACUGGUGUUCGGGUUGUCAUGCCAAUGGCACUGCCCGGUAGCUAAAUGCGGAAGAGAUAAGUGCUGAAAGCAUCUAAGCACGAAACUUGCC
RNAcentral lists this ribosomal RNA (1541 nucleotides) under Escherichia coli. RNAcentral describes it as "partial 23S ribosomal RNA". It matches the Rfam family "Bacterial large subunit ribosomal RNA", at positions 1274 to 2798 of the family's 2925-position model. Lineage: Bacteria; Pseudomonadati; Pseudomonadota; Gammaproteobacteria; Enterobacterales; Enterobacteriaceae. The record is from RNAcentral.